This 355-nucleotide ribosomal RNA is filed under the name Alexandrium margalefii. RNAcentral's name for it is "partial Bacterial large subunit ribosomal RNA". It matches the Rfam family "Bacterial large subunit ribosomal RNA", at positions 601 to 955 of the family's 2925-position model. The record is from RNAcentral. Lineage: Eukaryota; Dinophyceae; Gonyaulacales; Pyrocystaceae.
GUACCUUUUGUAUAAUGGGUCAGCGACUUACUUGUCUGUAGCAAGCCUAACCGUAUAGGGGAGGCGCAGGGAAACCGAGUCUUAAUAGGGCGAUUAGUUGCAGGCAGUAGACCCGAAACCCGUCGAUCUAUCCAUGACCAGGGUGAAGUUGUGGUAACACACAAUGGAGGCCCGAACUCACGCCUUUUGAAAAAGUCGGAGAUGAGUUGUGGAUAGGAGUGAAAGGCUAAUCAAGGCGGGUGAUAGCUGGUUCUCCUCGAAAGCUAUUUAGGUAGCGCCUCGUGUAUGACUCCGGGGGGUAGAGCACUGUUACGGUCUGGGGGUUGCACAAGUACCUACCCAACUGUUGCAAACU